AGCGAAGACCAGAAACGAUAAAUCAUCCCCAGGUCACACAGGUAGGCGGUAACUCAAUCCUCUAGUGAGGGCACAUUGGGAGCCAGAGCUUCUGAUUCCUUUUCUUGUAGGAAACCACCAAUUGGCACAACAAAUUUUGCAGGUUUGUGCAAAGAGGGAACAGUGAACAGAAUCCCAAGAGAACAGAAGUCACACCCCAAAAUGCCCACAUGUGAGGUGCAACCCUUCUGAAGGGUAGAGAUCUUGUCCUUUUUCAUCCUCGAUCAUUUCAGCUACAUGAAAUGCAUCCAGAUGACACUAGCAGAGCACUGGCUUGAUUUAGAACGGAGCCACACACCUGUUCUUCUAAAUAUAAACAAAUUUGCAACCUGAGCCAUUGGCAGUCACUGCAGGGUAAGGGGGUGAGAGCUGGGGCCGGUGCUCGCCUGCAGGCUGGCUCUGGGCUUACACAAGGCCAAGGCUCUGGGCACAAGGGCCAAGGAUGCAGAAUGCCAGGCAGGAUAUUUGGAAUUGUGAUCUGGUGGUCACAGUGACCUUUUAUCUUGCCGGAGAGAUAAUAAUUAGCUUUAUUAUCCUUAUUGUUAUUUUUAAACGUGCUUAGUUCGCUCUUGUGGCUCAGCUUGUACCCAGCGUGUUGAAUGUUCCAGGUCUUCUUGGUUGAUAUGGAUGAACGUUGCCUGAGUUGCCAUGUUUGAAGAAAGCUUAUUCUAAAGGAAAUGGUUUGCUGAGAUCCAGAACACUAAUUUAAACCAUGGGGUAUUUUUAUUGUCUCUGUGAAGGCAACACUGUUUUGGAUUCUAGAGUUCCUGGCUAUUCAAAGUAUGUGACUACUCCCUCAUACUGUCAUGCCUCUUUCCAUUCUUGCUUAGAGGCCUUGCGAUCAUGCUGGAGUCCUUGGAAAUAUUCCAUAUUAUUCUUAACUGAUGGGAUGCUACAGAGGUCAUAUGGAUAGAAAGUAUAAGCCUUCAAAGAGGAAGAUGUUCAGUCCCGGAAACCAAAUAUGCCCCUCCGCUACAAUGGAAGUGAUAUAUCUUCUACACCUUCUUCCAUUUAAGUCUGGCUGCCUCACCUUUGCUCCAGUCCCUCUGUUCCUGUCAUCUCAGGAAUCUCAUACUUGACAUUACCUACUGUCUCCUGAGUCUUCAACUUGUUAUUCUACUUGAGCUUUGUUAUCUCAGCUAAACUUGUCUCUUUCAUAGAAAGAAAGAAAGAAAGAAAGAAAGAAAGAAAGAAGAAAGAAAGAAAGAAAGAAAAGAGAAAAGAAAAGGAAAGAAGAGAAGAGAAGAGAAGAGAAAAGAAAAGAAAAGAAAAGAAAAGAAAAGAAAAGAAAAGAUUUCUCUCUAAAAAAGAAAUCUUCUGUUUUGUAAAUAAUGAUUUCACAUUUUCCUAACGAGCUCAUAUAAGGCUGCAAAACACUUCAGCGUUCAGCCAUGGUG
Molecule: long non-coding RNA, 1436 nt
Filed under: Felis catus (domestic cat)
Lineage: Eukaryota; Metazoa; Chordata; Mammalia; Carnivora; Felidae
Description: lncRNA (ENSFCAG00000042448.2)
Source: RNAcentral